This 168-nucleotide ribosomal RNA is filed under the name Alternaria alternata. RNAcentral describes it as "5.8S ribosomal RNA". It matches the Rfam family "5.8S ribosomal RNA". From Rfam's summary of the family: 5.8S ribosomal RNA (5.8S rRNA) is a component of the large subunit of the eukaryotic ribosome. The record is from RNAcentral. Lineage: Eukaryota; Fungi; Ascomycota; Dothideomycetes; Pleosporales; Pleosporaceae.
UUAAUAAUUACAACUUUCAACAACGGAUCUCUUGGUUCUGGCAUCGAUGAAGAACGCAGCGAAAUGCGAUAAGUAGUGUGAAUUGCAGAAUUCAGUGAAUCAUCGAAUCUUUGAACGCACAUUGCGCCCUUUGGUAUUCCAAAGGGCAUGCCUGUUCGAGCGUCAUUU